UGGGGAAUAUUGGACAAUGGGCGCAAGCCUGAUCCAGCCAUGCCGCGUGAGUGAUGAAGGCCUUAGGGUUGUAAAGCUCUUUCGCCGGUGAAGAUAAUGACGGUAACCGGAGAAGAAGCCCCGGCUAACUUCGUGCCAGCAGCCGCGGUAAUACGAAGGGGGCUAGCGUUGCUCGGAAUCACUGGGCGUAAAGCGCACGUAGGCGGAUCGUUAAGUCAGGGGUGAAAUCCUGGAGCUCAACUCCAGAACUGCCCUUGAUACUGGCGAUCUCGAGUUCGAGAGAGGUUGGUGGAACUCCGAGUGUAGAGGUGAAAUUCGUAGAUAUUCGGAAGAACACCAGUGGCGAAGGCGGCCAACUGGCUCGAUACUGACGCUGAGGUGCGAAAGCGUGGGGAGCAAAACAGGAUUAGAUACCCUGGUAGUCCACGCCGUAAACGAUGGAUGCUAGCCGUUGGGGGUUUGACCUCUCAGUGGCGCAGCUAACGCCUUAAGCAUCCCGCCUGGGGAGUACGGUCGCAAGAUUAAAACUCAAAUGAAUUGACGGGGUCAUAGCUGUUUCCU
RNAcentral lists this ribosomal RNA (561 nucleotides) under uncultured bacterium. Its description in RNAcentral is "partial 16S ribosomal RNA". It matches the Rfam family "Bacterial small subunit ribosomal RNA", at positions 355 to 1375 of the family's 1533-position model. The record is from RNAcentral.